Molecule: non-coding RNA, 109 nt
Organism: Acanthosepion pharaonis
Lineage: Eukaryota; Metazoa; Mollusca; Cephalopoda; Sepiida; Sepiidae
Source: the annotation of a GenBank genome assembly
GCCAUAUAACAUUGAAACACCAGUCCUUGUAUGAUCACUAAAGUUAAGCAAUGUAAAGCCUGGUCAGUACCUAGAUGGGUGACAGCUUAGGAAUACUAGGUGCUGUAAG